AGCGAACGCUGGCGGCAGGCCUAACACAUGCAAGUCGAACGAACUCUUCGGAGUUAGUGGCGGACGGGUGAGUAACACGUGGGAACGUGCCUUUUGGUUCGGAAUAACUCAGGGAAACUUGUGCUAAUACCGAAUGUGCCCUUCGGGGGAAAGAUUUAUCGCCAUUAGAGCGGCCCGCGUCUGAUUAGCUAGUUGGUGAGGUAACGGCUCACCAAGGCGACGAUCAGUAGCUGGUCUGAGAGGAUGACCAGCCACACUGGGACUGAGACACGGCCCAGACUCCUACGGGAGGCAGCAGUGGGGAAUCUUGCGCAAUGGGCGAAAGCCUGACGCAGCCAUGCCGCGUGAAUGAUGAAGGUCUUAGGAUUGUAAAAUUCUUUCACCGGGGACGAUAAUGACGGGACCCGGAGAAGAAGCCCCGGCGAACUUCGU
RNAcentral lists this ribosomal RNA (432 nucleotides) under uncultured bacterium. Its description in RNAcentral is "partial 16S ribosomal RNA". It matches the Rfam family "Bacterial small subunit ribosomal RNA", at positions 29 to 506 of the family's 1533-position model. The record is from RNAcentral.